AUCUGAUUGGAUGACCGCCGAA
Molecule: non-coding RNA, 22 nt
Filed under: Arabidopsis thaliana (thale cress)
Lineage: Eukaryota; Viridiplantae; Streptophyta; Magnoliopsida; Brassicales; Brassicaceae
Source: RNAcentral